AUAUUUAAUUUUAUUCCUUCUGAUUUAAAAAUUUCAUUAAAAAGUCACACGUGCUCUGGACUAAUUAAUUCACAUUCAGUGUAGUUAAUUCGUUUUUACUAUUACUAAUAAGCAUUUACAACAAAUAUAGCCUUAAUUUUUAUUUAACAUAAUACAAUUUAAUGACAAGUCAUGUCAACAAAUGCCAAGGGGCAUAAUACCUUCUUCGUUUCAUAUCAGUAUCAUGAAGUAGGAAUUUAACCUACAUAAGAUCUUUAGUUCUCUCAAAAUCCUCCAUGAAGACAUACUACAUAUAUGUAGAUAUAUACAUUAUGAACACACUGAUUCGACGAUUCGAGACGUAGUUUGAUAAAACCUCCGCAUUAAAUACAAUAAUAUAUAUGUAAUAUAAUAUAAUAUAUAUAAUAAUAUAUAAUAUGUUUAAAAGCAGAUUAUAUAAACUAAAAAUAUCGAUCAGGAUAGUGAGCGUAGUGUAGGAUGUCCAGCGGUAGGUCACCAUUUUACGAAAAGUAUGAUCGAAAAGUGAUCGGAUCCACGCAUGCAUGUUGCUUACUCUGGGCUGCAUUGUUCGAAAGAGGGCCGCGCAGCUGCUCGAAAAUAGACAAGUCCAUUGUGGUGUGCACGGAACGCGACAAUGGACGCUGAUGCAUGCCUGAAAUCGAUCGGGAAACUGACUCACGGGCACGGGCACGGGCACGGGCACGGGGACGAUCCCAAACGCACCAUUAUUCCCAUAUCGACAAGGUCAUGACCUCCGGCAAGAAUCGUGAUGCGACUACACGUAGCUCCACUCUUUCUUGUCUAUGGCGGGCAGGAGCAGGUCGUUGCCACUCGAUCGUCACACUACCAGACUCCAUGGACGUUAUGGCGGAAACGAUAUCAGUGAUAUAAAACAUGCACAAUGAGCAGAGGAGAUAUUGGUGAAGACUCACCGGUGCGAUCCAGUUGAUCCGAAGCGACGAUCGAAAAUCCAGUCGGUUAAUCGAGGGCCGGCGUCCCGCCGUGCCGAUGCACUGAGAAGUUUCAAACACUUUCUGAUUGGUACACCAGCGUAAAUUCACACGAGUUACGUGAUCGAGUCAAUCUCAUAAUCGCAACACAGUCCUCGGCUACGAACAUACACUGAAUUCGUUUUUAAAUCGAAACGACACGACGGCGCGCCGAACACGACACUUAAAUGCCAAACUAUCGUAGCAACGGGUGCUUCGUUACUGCGUGACGGUGUACCAAGGUUCAUUGUGUGCUCGCCUUUCUGCUUGGUGAUUGGCGGAGGGGAUGAUGGAGGACAGAUGGUAGUCACGGAGGUUACCGGCAAACAUCAAGCAGCACCGAGUCUGAUUCAUCCUUGCCUCGUAAGAUGGUGCAU
Long non-coding RNA from Bombus pascuorum, 1366 nucleotides. RefSeq lists it as uncharacterized. Lineage: Eukaryota; Metazoa; Arthropoda; Insecta; Hymenoptera; Apidae. The transcript has 2 exons. The record is from RefSeq and is a predicted model, not a curated record.